Molecule: ribosomal RNA, 1305 nt
Filed under: uncultured bacterium
Lineage: Bacteria
Description: partial 16S ribosomal RNA
Rfam family: Bacterial small subunit ribosomal RNA
Source: RNAcentral
GCAGUCGAGCGGGGGAGGUUGCUUCGGUAACUGACCUAGCGGCGGACGGGUGAGUAAUGCUUAGGAAUCUGCCUAUUAAUGGGGGACAACAUUUCGAAAGGGAUGCUAAUACCGCAUACGCCCUACGGGGGAAAGCAGGGGAUCUCUUGAGACCUUGCUUUAAUAUAUGACCCUAUCUCAUAUUAUCUAUUUGGUGGGGUAAGCGCCUACCAGGGACACUAUCUGUAGCGUGUCUGAGAAGAUUAUCCCCCACUCUGACACUGACACACGGCCCACACUCCUACGGGAGGCAACUGUGGAAAAUAUUGCACUGUGGGGGGAACUGUUAUCCACCCAUGCCGCGUGUGUGAAGAGCGCUUUAUUUUUGUAACGCUUUUUACGCGAAGAAGACGCUCUCUUGUUUAAUACCCAGAAUGAGUGGACUUUACUCACAGAAUACGCACCCGCUCUCUCUGUGCCCGCACCCGCUGUUAUACAGAGUGUGCGAGCGUUUCUCAUAUUUACUGCGUGUAACGUGUGCAUACGCGGUUUUUUAUCUCAUAUGUGAUCUCUCAGAUCUUAUCUUGAGAUUUGCAUUCUAUUCUGGAAAUCUAGUAUAUGGGAGAAGAUGGUAGAAUUCCGUGUGUAGCUGUGAUAUGCGUAGAUAUCUAGAAGAAUACAUAUGGCGAGCGCAGCUAUCUGGNCUUAUANUGACNNUGANGUUAGAAAGCCUGGGGAGCCAACCGGAUUUGAUUCCCUGGUUGUUCCUGCCGUUAAAGAUGUUUUAUUGCCGGUGGGGCCUUUGAGGGUUUAGUGGGGCAGGUAACGGGAUAAGUUGGCCGCCUGGGGAGUACGGUUGCCAGAAUUAAAAUUAAAUGAAUUGACGGGGGCCCGCACCAGCGGUGGAGCCUGUUGUUUAAUUUGGUGCAACGGGAAGAACCUUAACUGGUUUUGACAUUGUAAGAACUUUCCCGAGAUGGAUUGGUGCCUUUGGGAAAUUACCUACCGGUGGCGCCUGGGUGUUGUUAGGUUGUGUUGUGAGAUGGUGGGUUAAGUUCCGCAACGAGGGCCACCCUUUUCCUUAUUUGCCAGCCAGUUAAGCCGGGAACUUUAAGGAUACUGCCAGUGUCAAACUGGAGGAAGGCGGGGACGACGUCAAGUCAUCAUGGCCCUUACGACCAGGGCUACACACGUGCUACAAUGGUCGGUACAAAGGGUUGCUACCUAGCGAUAGGAUGCUAAUCUCAAAAAGCCGAUCGUAGUCCGGAUUGGAGUCUGCAACUCGACUCCAUGAAGUCGGAAUCGCUAGUAAUCGCGGAUCAGCAA